AACAGUAAAAGGCAAACCAUUUGAAAAUUUGGGACGCAAAGCUAUCAGGUCUAAGGCAUAGAGAGAAAGAAUGCUAUGACGGCUGGGCCGCCUGA
RNAcentral lists this non-coding RNA (95 nucleotides) under Jeotgalibacillus soli. Its description in RNAcentral is "c-di-GMP sequence". It matches the Rfam family "c-di-GMP-I riboswitch aptamer". Rfam says of the family: GEMM was predicted in a large-scale screen for bacterial structured RNA regulatory elements. Genes associated with GEMM are involved in a diverse array of functions, including chemotaxis regulation, signal transduction, secretion and chitin. The record is from Rfam by way of RNAcentral. Lineage: Bacteria; Bacillati; Bacillota; Bacilli; Caryophanales; Caryophanaceae.